GACGAACGCUGGCGGCGUGCUUAACACAUGCAAGUCGUACGGAAAGGCCCUGCUUUUGUGGGGUGCUCGAGUGGCGAACGGGUGAGUAACACGUGAGUAACCUGCCCUUGACUUUGGGAUAACUUCAGGAAACUGGGGCUAAUACCGGAUAGGAGCUCCUGCUGCAUGGUGGGGGUUGGAAAGUUUCGGCGGUUGGGGUUGGACUCGCGGCUUAUCAGCUCGUUGGUGGGGUAGUGGCUUACCAAGGCUUUGACGGGUAGCCGGCCUGAGAGGGUGACCGGCCACAUUGGGACUGAGAUACGGCCCAGACUCCUAAGGGAGGCAGCAGUGGGGAAUAUUGCACAAUGGGCGGAAGCCUGAUGCAGCAACGCCGCGUGCGGGAUGACGGCCUUCGGGUUGUAAACCGCUUUCGCCUGUGACGAAGCGUGAGUGACGGUAAUGGGUAAAGAAGCACCGGCUAACUACGUG
Molecule: ribosomal RNA, 468 nt
Filed under: uncultured bacterium
Lineage: Bacteria
Description: partial 16S ribosomal RNA
Rfam family: Bacterial small subunit ribosomal RNA
Source: RNAcentral